Long non-coding RNA from Pyrus x bretschneideri (Chinese white pear), 435 nucleotides. RefSeq lists it as uncharacterized. The record is from RefSeq and is a predicted model, not a curated record. NCBI's taxonomy places the organism in Eukaryota, Viridiplantae, Streptophyta, Magnoliopsida, Rosales, Rosaceae. The transcript has 3 exons.
GUGAAAUGACCCUUUUAGCCCUAGUUUGUUUUGUUAUGUUUUUGGUUACUUGGUGUGGUGUUGGCAGGUGCUGGGCCACCCACACACACCCUCAUUGUCCCUAUCCCUCUCUCAGUCUCUUUCCCUGUCUCUCUCUCUCUCCCGAGUCCUCUAUUAUUCUUCUUCUUCCUUCAAACUCGUACGGACACACCUACAACUACACUAUUUCACCACAGAUCGAAGGAACUAAGGGCACAGUUGAGAUCGUGAGGUCGUGGGGAGCAAGAUCAUACCAAUAUCAGCUUGUAGAUGUGUUGGUGAGGUCCCAAGGAGCUUGGGAGUGCAUCGUUGGACGGAAUUGGACGUCAGAUUAGCCUGGUUCGAGUUUGACCGGUUUUGGUAAUUGGUGACAGGUGACACGUAUCCCGAGGACGAGCGUGCUCACGCGAGGCAGGG